GACAGAGGUUUCUGCGUGUGCUGUAUCGCGGGGCGCCUCCCCGGGCGUCCUCCGGGGGCGACCCGGGUCACGGGGGAGGUGCGGCGGCAGAGGAAGCGCUCCUGAUGGAGGGGUUUCUGUUUAAGAGGACCAGGAGUGUGUUUAAAACCUGGAACAGCCUGCCGCCAUCUGAUUGAACAAUGCCUCAAGAAGAAGCCCAGCAAGCGUCUCACCCUCGGGCAGAUCCUCCUGCACGGGUGGUUUGAUGAGUAAGCCGAAGACUAGGUUCAGAUGAUGUAGAUCUUUAACCGUAGAGGUUUCUGAAGGCUUCUGCUAACGGUAAAAAUGAUCAAACCUUUUAAGAUUUGAGCUUUUUUCCAGGAAUAAGAAGGUUCGAGAGCUCUGGCAGGUCUUUCUGGGUGAGUAGGAGAUGAUGAAGGUUUGAUAUCUAUGCAAGGUUUAAGUCUCUAUUCACAGGGCCUCACAGAACCUUACCGGACCUCCAGGACGUCACGAUAGCUUAAUGGUAGAACUCUAUAAACUAACAUCUCCAACCUUUCAGGGCUGGAUCGUGUCUAACUGCAUUUCUUGCUUGUUUUCUCGACGCAGGUCAACGAGCAUCUUGAUCCGGAAGACGAGGAGAUUAUUCUUACAGUUACCAGCAGCUUCUUUGUUUAUUAAAUAAAUAAAUUGUUCAAUAAAGACGUGAACUGUA
This is a long non-coding RNA of Trichomycterus rosablanca, 694 nucleotides long. RefSeq lists it as uncharacterized. The transcript has 2 exons. NCBI's taxonomy places the organism in Eukaryota, Metazoa, Chordata, Actinopteri, Siluriformes, Trichomycteridae. The record is from RefSeq and is a predicted model, not a curated record.